RNAcentral lists this long non-coding RNA (626 nucleotides) under Helianthus annuus (common sunflower). RNAcentral's name for it is "sRNA HanXRQr2_Chr17g0814481". Lineage: Eukaryota; Viridiplantae; Streptophyta; Magnoliopsida; Asterales; Asteraceae. The record is from RNAcentral.
UCACUCAUAUCUCUUUCCUAAUUUUUCUCCAUCUUUUGAAAAGCAAAAUUUACAAACGUAAUUAGAGAUGAAUAGCAAAUCCAUUAUUUUUUAUUUAAUCAGAUCUUGUGAUGAUCAAACAAAGUUUAAAAGAUCUGAUGCGUGCGUGAGUCAAGAUCCAGCAAUUUAAAAGAUCUGGUGCUGGUUGAAAGAUAUGGUGGUGGAAAACAAAUACGGUGGUAAACAAAUCAGUUGUGGGGGGCUUUGCAUGUGUGUUUGAGGGCUUCGAAGAUGCGAUGUUUUGGUUCAAGAAAAGUGUGAAUCAGUCACCAAAAGAUCCGAAACAACAACCAAUAUCUAAACCGAACAUCCAAGAUCUUAAAAAAAAUUGGUGCGGUUCAGCGAUCAAGAUUCGAAAGCGGACAACAACCAUCUAGAUCAAGUAUGUUUUUAGGUUUAAGGAAAUAUUGUUUAAGAGAUACGAUUUUCUUAUACGUAUUUGUUUAAAAUUUUAAUUAUGUAUCAUUUUCUUGAUUGAUUUAUUUUGAUGUUAAUGGUGGAUUGAAAUGGCACAAAAAGAUAAGUAAAGUAGAUUUUAAUUAUGUAUCAGUUUUAUGAAAUGUACACUUUUUAGAUAUUGUGAUACC